This 1353-nucleotide long non-coding RNA is filed under the name Bos indicus x Bos taurus (hybrid cattle). RNAcentral describes it as "lncRNA (ENSBIXG00000014229.1)". Lineage: Eukaryota; Metazoa; Chordata; Mammalia; Artiodactyla; Bovidae. The record is from RNAcentral.
AUGGCUCUCCUCUACAGUCUUGGUGCCGAUGAGAUCCCGCAGGAGAUGCUGGGGGCCCUUCUCCUCCAGGUCCACUCCAGCCUCUGGGCCAUGCGAUGGGCCCUGGGCCCCGGGACUCUGGCUGGGGCCUGGCCCAGGCCUGCCCGGCUCCUCGGGGCCCAGGUAGCCCCUGGACCUUGCAGCCUCCUGCUUCACCACCUUCCUGGGUUUCUGCUGCUGCCCGUCCUCUCUGACGCCUGGGGUCAAGUCCACUUCCUUCCUCUUCUCGCCCCGGCGCCAUCGCCGGCCGCUGGGGCGGGGCCGGCCUCUGAAGCGGGAGCCAGGGGGCCGUGGUCCGUCCUCCUCCUCAGACUCGGAGGCGGCGCAGUCGCAGUGCUGGGGCCCGCCGUCUGCGGCGCCCGGGGCCGGGCCGCGCCCGCCUGCCCGGUUCUUCUGCUGCACGAUCUUGUGGAUGAGCUCCUUGCUCCAGGUGCCGCCCCGCGCCCGCCUCCGCCUGCAGUCCUGGCCGGGGGACAGUCGGAGGCGCCGGGAGCUCCUGGUCUCCACCAGCGGGGCCCGGCCCCGGGGUCUGUGUGGCUCUUGGGGGCCUGGGUUCUGAGAUCCCGCGGGCGGGCCUCAGCCCGGCCUUUCCUCCGUGGCCUCAGGCGGGUGGCCCUGGAGCCCCUGCCAGGCCUCUUGGUGGUGUUAACCGUGUCCAGCUCUUUCCGGAACAACUUGAACCGCUUUCCUCUCCUCUGCUGGCCAGCCAGGCUGGCCCCAUCUGUCUCUGCAGGUGCUGGGCCCAGGGAGCGGGUUUUGGGCCUGGGGCCGGCCGGGUUGCCCCCAUCCCCGGGCUGGCGGGGCUGGGUCUCCAGCGGGACAUCCACUGCUGGGGGCAGGGCUGGGGCUGGGGCUUUGUUCUCUGGUGUCGCCCCCAGCCUGGCCUUGGGCGGCUGCCCGGCAGCGGAGCCCUUGGGGCCGGAAGGUUCCUCGUCGGUGAAGACGUCAAUGAAGCUGCUGUCGAUUUCGGGGUUGUCAGACUGGUACUCCAGGCCAUUGAGCGCCUCCGUGAUGAGGCUGUCCAGCUUGGCAGCGUCCUCCAGGUCCAGGUCCCCUGUGGGGAGUGGGAAGGGGGUGGCGGUGGGGCCAGGCAGGAAGCUCGUCCUCAGGGGGUCGUCUCUGCCAUCAGGCCGGAGGUCUCCGCCCAGCAGGAAGGGAGCUGUCCUGGCAUGGCUGAGCGGGCUUGGGGUCCUGCCAGCUGGCACUCUGGGGGGCGCAGGGAGCCCCGGGGGCUGCUGGUGGCUGUCCUGGGCCCUGGCUGGCAGCAGGCCGCAGAACUGCCGGUGGCCCAGGAAGGCGGCCAGGCUGCUGUAG